This 104-nucleotide small nuclear RNA is filed under the name Zalophus californianus (California sea lion). The record is from RNAcentral. RNAcentral also lists the same sequence under 1 other name. Lineage: Eukaryota; Metazoa; Chordata; Mammalia; Carnivora; Otariidae.
GUGCUCACUUUGGCAGCACAUAUACUGAAAUUGGGAACGACUCAGAGAUCAGCGUGGCCUGCUCCAAGGAUGACACACAAAUUGAUGAAGCGUUCCAUAUUUUU